AGCUAUCUGUUGGAAAUAAAAUAUUCUGUGAAACCGGCAACACGGGCUGACGAUGCAAAAGCGGAAUAGUAUAAAAUAUCAUUGUUGGUAGGAGGUCUAUUUGAAGACAGCGCGAGAUAAAAUACCAAAAUCAUUGAAGCUGCUAUUGAGAAUGCUGCUCUCAGUCUUUGGUUUAUCGCGGCAAAUGUGACUUCCUCCCCAACAAACUUCAAUGAUUUUGCGGAAUCAUUUGCAGUAGUAAGAGCACAAUGGACCCGCGGCUUCAGCAAAUAGAAGCAGAAGGCAACCUAUGGCGGAAAUAUUGUGAUGAUGAAGAACGGCGCAUCGAUGAAGAAUAUGAGCGUCGGCUUGCUGAAAUCGAUGCAGAAUUCGAGGAAGCUGCUAGGAAAAUUCGACAGAAAUUCUCCCAAAAGACGGAUGCAGUGAAAAGGCAGUUUUGUGAAGUUAAUUCAUUCACAAAACCUUCCACACAACUCGCCUGUACUUCUGAACAACAAAGCAGUGCACCUAUCCCUCAUCGACGAACAUCAGCACGUCAUUCAAGUUCAAUCGCGGCAUCUGUAGAGGUGCACAUUAACGAUAUAAGAUCGUCACAGGUGGUACAAUCAGCUGUUCCACAAAAUGUGUUAACAGUGUCUAGUGGUCAGAAUAAAGUUUGCCAUCUCGAGAACACGGAUCCUAAAACUGUAAAUAUGCCCAAACUAUACAUGGCAGGAAAGUAUGCAUUUGAAAGGCAGCCAACCAUCCAAUUUCUAUUAUGUGAAAUAAUUAUCAAAUGUGAAGUCUGUGGAACAGUGGCGUUAACAACAGAUAGAGCAACAACAACGAAAACGUACAUCGAGAUCUUCGAUCCCGGGGGAGCGUUUGUUUUUUUCUCUCAGCUCAGUUCGAUAGCUACACGCGUUGCGACGAUUGUUUUUUGCCAUUCUGAGUGAUCAAUCAUAUCGUUCAAUUGUUGUCAUUCCAUGUGAAUGUGGCAAUCAAAUGGUCAGACCUGUUACCUGUUUCACGGGUGGGAGAAUGUUGGAAAUAAAAUAUUCUGUGAAACCGGCAACACGGGCUGACGAUGCAAAAGCGGAAUAGUAUAAAAUAUCAUUGUUGGUAGGAGGUCUAUUUGAAGACAGCGCGAGAUAAAAUACCAAAAUCAUUGAAGCUGCUAUUGAGAAUGCUGCUCUCAGUCUUUGGUUUAUCGCGGCAAAUGUGACUUCCUCCCCAACACUAUCU
This 1224-nucleotide long non-coding RNA is filed under the name Aedes aegypti (yellow fever mosquito). RNAcentral's name for it is "lncRNA AAEL026957". Lineage: Eukaryota; Metazoa; Arthropoda; Insecta; Diptera; Culicidae. The record is from RNAcentral.